UUGAUCCUGGCUCAGAUUGAACGCUGGGGGCAGGCCUAACACAUGCAAGUCGAGCGGAAACGAGUUAUCUGAACCUUUGGGGGACGAUAACGGCGUCGAGCGGCGGGCGGGUGAGUAAUGCCUAGGAAAUUGCCCUGAUGUGGGGGAUAACCAUUGGAAACGAUGGCUAAUACCGCAUAACACCUUCGGGUCAAAGAGGGGGACCUUCGGGCCUCUCGCGUCAGGAUAUGCCUGGUGGGAUUAGUUAGUUGGUGAGGUAAUGGCUCACCAAGGCGACGAUCCCUAGCUGGUCUGAGAGGAUGAUCAGCCACACUGGAAAUGAGACACGGUCCAGACUCAUACGGGAGGCAGCAGUGGGGAAUAUUGCACAAUGGGCGCAAGCCUGAUGCAGCCAUGC
This 397-nucleotide ribosomal RNA is filed under the name Vibrio harveyi. RNAcentral's name for it is "bacterial SSU rRNA". It matches the Rfam family "Bacterial small subunit ribosomal RNA", at positions 13 to 397 of the family's 1533-position model. The record is from RNAcentral. Lineage: Bacteria; Pseudomonadati; Pseudomonadota; Gammaproteobacteria; Vibrionales; Vibrionaceae. RNAcentral also lists the same sequence under 1 other name.